Molecule: long non-coding RNA, 4962 nt
Organism: Canis lupus familiaris (dog)
Lineage: Eukaryota; Metazoa; Chordata; Mammalia; Carnivora; Canidae
Exons: 5
Source: RefSeq, a predicted model, not a curated record
ACACGCAGUAAAUAAACAUCACCUGUUUGUGCAGGAUGACACGGGGGCGGCUCCUGCUGCUGCCGUUAUCGGGGAGGAAGCACUAGGUUGGGUGUGUGAGUAUUUGGACGCGCACCGCCACCAGAGGACAAUACCCGCGCGCUGGACGUGCCCCGCGGUAGCCGGACCGCGGCCCUGGCGGGCUUUGCCGAGCCCUGCCUGGUUAUUACUUCCUGGAAGGCCACUGCUGAGAAAAGGGGACUUUCACUUUUUCCUGCCUUGGUGGCUCCCUGUCGGCGUCUAGACUUCGUGCUCACAAUGGCAGGGCCUUCCGGAUCCCACUCUCUCUGUUGCCAGCUUCCAAGGUCAUGUAUCUAAAUUGGGAUUUCCUGGAUUCCCAGAGUCUUCGGGUUGGAAGGGCCUGGAGGGCAGCAGAGCCACCCUGUGUCUGUCUUUACAGAAGGGAGGAUGGAAGCGCAGGUCAGGGCGCGCUGGACCAGAGUUAUUCUAGACUGAGCUGCCCCUCUGCUCCGUGGAUGAGAGCAGAAGCCUCACAUCUGGGGCAGAUCUGGGGGCAAAAAAUUGGGCCUGAUAUCCGGGUACAUCUUAUGUGGUUUGCACAGUGGCGUGGCUUUUGCCUGGACCCUGUGGUUUCUUGGAAAAUCUGGCUGUGAGUCCUCCAAGAUAGCGUGAAAUCUAGUGUGGUCAGAGUUUCUCAUGCCUGGUGGUGUAUCAGUGUCCCCCCGAGGGUCUUGUGAUGAUGUGAUUCUGGUUCACUGGGCCUGGGAGUCUCAUUUCUAACCAGCCUGCAGUUGAUGAGGAUGUUCCUAGGGCUGGCACUUUCAGGAAGGGGUCUCUGAAUUCAUUGUGUUGAGGCCAGAGCCAUGAAAGGUGGGAAGUAGCAUGCCCUCCCCACUCACUGAGCUCAUGGCUCUGGCACGGGGCGACCGAGGCUCAUGUUUGGGCUCCAGACAGCAGGUGGUUGGGUCACCUUGAUGGUGCACUGGGAGUCUCACCCAGAGCCACAACUGCAGAGACCCACAGCCCUGUCUGUCCCCUCUCCUUGAACCCGGGCCAUUUCAGCUAAAUAAAAGUGGAAGGAAGGCUGUGGUCAUCACAGGCCUGUCCUUUAAGAGACUCUGGCAACCUAUCCUUCAUACUGCUAGGAACCCGGAGUUGGCACUUAAGAGGUCCCACCACUUGCUGGAGAGGCCAUACAGAGGGGCCACAUGGACAGAGGGAGGUACAGCCAUCCCAGCACGCCGAUCCAGGGCAACCUGCCAGCUGCCACAACAAAUAACCACCUGAACCCAGCCUGGCCUGUAGAAUUGUGUGCAAAUAAGACAGUGGCUGGGCUCAGCCAUUAAGUUUUGAGGUGGUUUGUUACACAGUGACAGGUAACUGGAAGAGCAGCCAUAUGGUUUAUCAUCCAGCCAGGAGGUAAAGGGGGCACUGCUAAUAAUUACACCAGAACCACGGUGGCACGGGGACCACCCCAGGAAAACGAGGAUGCACAGUGACCCUGAGAGGAAUCACCCUGUGACCAGUGAGCACUGCCUACAUGUGGGUCCCUGAGAGUCUUCUAGUUGCAAGUGGUAGAAACCAAACCUGAGCCCGGUUUAAGGCAAAACGACCACGUGUGGAAGGAGAAAGCCUCGGCUGGUCCUGCCACAGCUGUGCUUCCAUCCAGCGGCGGCACACUGUGUCCUGCAGGCUCCGGCUCUCUUCAUCUCUGCUUAGCUUUGUUUGGUCUCACUCUUUUUCCAGCUCUCCCCAGAAGGAGCAAGGCUAUCUCCGAACAAUGUCAAGCUCUGCACAAGUCCUGGACCGGAGUCUGUGGCGCUGAUCGGCCACGUUGGACCACGUGCCAUGAACCAAUCACUCUGGCCUGGAUGAUGAUACCCUGAGGGGCCAGACCUGAGUCAUAAGAGCACUUCAGAUCCAUCCUUCCAUUCAGAGCAGAGAGGGGAUCAACCAGGAAGACCUGGCCCCUGCUCUGGAGCAUGGGAACAGAGGUGGCGUGGGUGCAGAGGGCAGCUUUGCAGCAUGCAUGGCCCCCACGUCCUGAGUCAAGUGCGUCUGCAUUUCACAUUACUGCAGAGCUUCUCUGAGAACACCCAGCAGUCACCAUGGAUGUGGCCAGAGGCCGAUAAAUGAUGCUGGUGAGGGUCUAACGUGCCACCACAUCGGGGGCCUGGCUGGGAGACAACUCACAGUGUGGCUACUGAGAAGGGAGACUGUCGUCACUGGACGUUCACCGAAUCAUAAAUGAAAUCUGCAAGGACUUGACCACUCCCUCGAUGUUGACGUCUAUCAUUCCUGUGCAUGUAUUUCUAUUUGGCCACAUGUGGAUUCAUCCAGAACACAGUAUGAAGGUUGUUCUGCAUAUUCUUAGGCUGCAUAUAAAUGGUUUCCUAUUGUACUUUCAUUCUACAAAUUGCUCUACUGGUUUCGCACGAUGCUUCAAGAGCCGUCUGAGGCAAUCAUGGAGCUCUGUCGUCUGAGUUGGCCACUCUGCAGUGCGCUCCUGAAUGAAGCUCCUCCGCUGCCCGUUGAUGGACGUGUGCGUGGUUGCAGAGCAGCCGUGGCGGGCCGGGUGAAGCUCCAUGUGCACGAGAGCCAGCCGGGUUCUCAUGAACGUCAUGGUUAUUAACCGCUGGGGCUUACUCAGAUUAACGUCUGAACGCCAAGGCCAGUCCUAUUACGUGGGUUGGCUUGGUCUGCUCAUGUAAACUCUCACAUGUGCUGACACAUCCAGAAGGGACUGGAGCCUCCAUACCAGCAGCGAAUGUCCCCAUCUCGGAGCUAAGGCAACAACUCUGUGCACUGACAUCCUUGAAAGCUACUCUUCCUGGAUUUGUAUCACUAAGCAAAGUUAUAAGAAUUUCACCAGACAUGAGACACGCUUUUGUAUUUUGUUAGUGCGUUUCUAAAAGAUGACACAUUAGCAGAUGCCUGUGGCAACUGCAUUCUGUCCUUGUUGGCCUUUCAGCCUGCAGAGAAGAUAAUUGUCUGUAGAAUUGUGAGCUGGUGAUGCCGUGCCCUCCGACCUCUGACACCGCGAGCUUGUUGAGGGUAGGGAUGAGUUCACUGGCCCUUCCCGGGACUGUCCUGACGUCUGAUCUGGAGCAAGCAGGACUGUUCCCAGAGACUGUAGCCCCAGCUGGAGCAGGUGCCUCAUGGCGAACUCCGUGGUGCUCGACUGGCCCUGAUCUACUUGGGUGAAGCUUGGCCUCUUCAACAAUGAGCAACAGUGGACAAUGGUAGAGUGAGUCACCUUCCUCCUAGAGCUUCCUCCUCCCUGGUCCCACUUGGCCUGCGGGAACACGGUACGCAGAUGAGCGGGUGCCAUGCACUGGGGAAGGGAGUGCCACUGAGUGACUGCUGGAGGGCGCACAUGAGGUGCAAAAAUGAGACAAGGCCAAGGUGGUGGCUGCACACCUGGUGAGUGUGCUUGAUGCCUCUGAGUCGCACAGCUUUAGGUGGUCACAAAGCCAGGGAGGAGCUUAAACUUCCCACCCAGAAGGUUCUGUGUUUCUCCAUUCAUCAUCCGAAGUCCUUUGACUGGCUCCUUUGCCCUAAACUACUCUUCAGCAGAACUCCCUUAAGUAACUAAAUGGCUUUCACUGGGCUCCAGCCUUUUAAAAGAAAGAAAAUGUCGAUGAUGAUUCUUUGUCUCCAUAAACUCUUAUGUCUGAUGACUUCAGCAUCCGUGCAACACAGUUGCCCAACACAGGUAUCUUGAGGUCUGUUGAAGGAAUGAGUCCGGGAGCAGAGAGCUCCCAAGGCAGGCUCCUGGGGAUGCAAAUUCCUGAGCCAUAUGUCACCCUUGCAAGGUGGGGGGCCCCAUCACAGCCCCUGACAAAUGCAUGGCUCCUGAGCCAGUGAACCACAGGAGGUGAGGUUCACAUGGGCUGAUUGCAUCAGAAGAUACCUUCACGCGGAGAGAUGCCCUUUCUAGUCCCUUUCCUGCCAAAACACCAUAGCAACCAACAUGGAAAUGCCAUUCAGUCUCUGAGGUCCGGCCCCUCGGAUGUCAGCGCCUUUCUCCAGGAGGGAGAACAGAUGUGUGUGCAAAUUGCUAACUCCUCCCUGCAUGGAGAGGGGGCCCGCAUGCCCGAAUCCCACCGUUCACUUCGUGGAGAAGCUGUCAAAGAGCACUGAGGUGUGGGCUGUGGAGGGAACUGAAAGGGUGGCCCCAGGGGCCCGUUACUGCCGGCCAGAAGGGGAGUCAGAAAGCCUUCUGCCCCGCCGAGAAGACGCAGUCGGCCUUACCGGGAAUAUACGGCUCCGUUAUCAACACCAGCUAUGUUUUCACAUGUUUUAGAGCGACAGCGUGAAUCCAAAUCAUCAUCGCUGAAUUAUUUACAUAUCCACACAAUGUGCUGACUAUGUUGAGGAUGGCGUGAAGAAGGUUUAGUGGCUGGAGUCCCUAGGGGCUCGUAUUUAACAGUCCGACAGGGAAGCCUCCCUGGGCGACUGCGUUGCUCUCACUGAGGGAGUGACCCGGUCAACGGGCAUCAAUCACACAGGCGGGAAUAUCUGCUCGCUCAGCCACCACGGCCCCCAGCCUGCCACCCCCUCGCUGGCCCCAGCAUUACAGGUCCUCCACCACAGGGCGCCUCUGCCUCGCAGCAAUCCAUAGAUACUUUACAAAUAAGCGUUAUUGGGUAAAGAAAGUUACCCAGAAAACAGCUACCUGAUUACAUGGCCAGGAUACAGCCUCAAACAUACACUCAACAGGUUGUGGAAACAAAAUAUGUUACAUUUACCUUUGGAAAUCAGAAUAUCUCAUGCAGCAUCCCCCACUUGUACGUAAUCACUGUAACGGUAGAGAAGGGAGGAAAGAAACCUGGCUCAAGGCUCCUUAGGAUGCUGAUUCAAAGGCUGGGCAGAGAAAAAUACAAGGUGAGCCUGGAAUAUCUUGUGGUGCCAGAAAGCAAGAAAAGCAAGAAAGCUUUCUUUUUUAAAAAGAAAAAAGAA